UACGUAGGGCGCAAGCGUUGUCCGGAAUUAUUGGGCGUAAAGAGCUCGUAGGCGGUCUGUUGCGUCCGCUGUGAAAACUCGGGGCUUAACCCCGAGCCUGCAGUGGAUACGGGCAGGCUAGAGUUCGGUAGGGGAGACUGGAAUUCCUGGUGUAGCGGUGAAAUGCGCAGAUAUCAGGAGGAACACCGGUGGCGAAGGCGGGUCUCUGGGCCGAUACUGACGCUGAGGAGCGAAAGCGUGGGGAGCGAACAGG
This 253-nucleotide ribosomal RNA is filed under the name uncultured bacterium. Its description in RNAcentral is "partial 16S ribosomal RNA". It matches the Rfam family "Bacterial small subunit ribosomal RNA", at positions 524 to 776 of the family's 1533-position model. The record is from RNAcentral.